This 397-nucleotide long non-coding RNA is filed under the name Pan troglodytes (chimpanzee). RNAcentral describes it as "lincRNA". The record is from RNAcentral. Lineage: Eukaryota; Metazoa; Chordata; Mammalia; Primates; Hominidae.
GGAGCAGGUGGAGUGGUGGCACUGGAUAGCGGUGUACACUUAAAGCGUUCUGGGAAUAUGAAUCCCUUCUGCACCCUGGAAUCACCAGUCCAGCCAUGCAUGGAGCUGGGGAAAGCAGGCCCUGAAUUGUCUAGAGAGACUUGGUGGAGGAGGCCACGGCCCGCCUUGUCCCUGCCGGGUCCCAGCCAGGUGUGUGUGCCCCAGCUGGACUCUCGGUGGUCUCCACAGGCUGCAGCAGAAGGAAUACCUUGGAACAACUGGAUGUUGUAAAUGUUUCUCAUCUGGCCUUAAAAUCCAUGAAAGCUGGAAAAUCACAAGGCAUCUGUGCACAUACUGGUGGAUUUUAAUGAGAGUCCUGUGUUUGGAGCACCAGAAAUAAACCAGCUUCAGAAGCAAA